This 73-nucleotide transfer RNA is filed under the name Planctomycetota bacterium. RNAcentral's name for it is "Planctomycetes bacterium (activated sludge metagenome) tRNA-Phe". It matches the Rfam family "tRNA". From Rfam's summary of the family: Transfer RNA (tRNA) molecules are approximately 80 nucleotides in length. Their secondary structure includes four short double-helical elements and three loops (D, anti-codon, and T loops). Further hydrogen bonds mediate the characteristic L-shaped molecular structure. tRNAs have two regions of fundamental functional importance: the anti-codon, which is responsible for specific mRNA codon recognition, and the 3' end, to which the tRNAs corresponding amino acid is attached (by aminoacyl-tRNA synthetases). tRNAs cope with the degeneracy of the genetic code in two manners: having more than one tRNA (with a specific anti-codon) for a particular amino acid; and 'wobble' base-pairing, i.e. permitting non-standard base-pairing at the 3rd anti-codon position. The record is from RNAcentral. Lineage: Bacteria; Pseudomonadati; Planctomycetota.
GGCCAGGUAGCUCAGUUGGUAGAGCACUUGAUUGAAAAUCAAGGAGUCGGCGGUUCAAGUCCGCCCCUGGCCA